AAAAAAAAAGAAAUAAUACAUGCUUAUUUCCCCCUUGGAAAUGCAUAUAGAUGUAAAAAGUCAUCAAACCAAAAGAACAAGUCCAUUUUAAUAUCUUAAACAUCUCCACUUUAUUUUAAAUAGGAAUGGCCCUAUUUUAAUGAGACAAAAGUAUGCUAUGGUCUUCCUUAAAAUGAUUCAUGGGGUUGGAAUAAGAUACUAGAUUUGAAAUAGUUCAAAACAGAACUCAGAUGUCUAUUAGAAAUAAUUCUAAAUUAAAUGUCUCCUCUGGAGCCAAGUAUUGACAUUGGACUUACUAAGCAAUGUGACCCUUGAAUACGUGAGUGGAUACAAUUGGAAGAGAAGUAUAUAUUAACUAUACACGCCUUACGAGGUAAUGUGACUAGCUCUGUCGGAAGACACACACAGUAAAUCCAUAGAAAAUAGUUCCAUAUAAAAUAGUGGUUUUAACCCCAUGUUACCAAUCUGCUCUUUAUACAAUGAGUAGCUUUUCUUCAGCUAAGGCAGGAGCCUCUUGUCCAACCAAAAGAAAACAAGAGCCAUUAAAAGUGAAGGAAUAAAAAUUCAUGGAAUUGAUGAAGGUGUUAAGUUCCACAAGAUGAAAACAGGGUAGAACCUUAAAAGCAGGUUGGUAAUGGUCUAUGCAGGGCCCUCCCAGUCCUGUAAAUGGGUAUCAGCAGACAAGUACUCUGGUAACUUUAAAACCAGUAAUACUGAGGCAAAACCAUUAUUUGCCUCAAAACAUGAAUUGGCUCUAAUUGAUUGAUUGAUUGAUUGAUUGGUUGGUUGGUUGAUUGAUUUAGUUUUGUUUUGCUUUGGGUUUUUCUUUUUUUUUUUUUUUAUUUUUGUUUUGUUUUGUUUUGUCUUGUUUGCUUUUAACUGACCAAAUCUGUGUUCUAAUCUAAACUAUGAGUUAGAAUCACUGAGGGGAGCUCUCUAGAAGGAGAGUGCCUGAGCCCCCGUUGUUUAGGCUAGACCUGGAUCUGUAAUUUUUAAAAAGCUCUCUGGAGAAUUCUAAUGAGGAUAGAAGAUUGAGAAGCGCUGAUCCAGGUAAUUUAUUUUUGCCUUAAUUACUUCAAUCUUUCAGGAAAAUAAGGCCCAUUCUUAUUUAUCAGCUCACCAGUGAGGCAGAGUUUCUUGAUCCAGUCUGCUAAGUUGAAAGACGCUUUUAAACAAUUUUCCAUGUCACACAAUUAUUUACAAGUAUGAUCUCCAAGAUAUGACUACAGGAGCAAUACCUACCUUUAAAUGUGGGCAAAUCUUUCUAUUUGGCUUAUUGGAAUUAGCGUUGUAGAGUUCUAUUAUGUCAAGUGUCCAGCCAAAAUGAGUGAAUGAGAUAAAUUAAAUAAAUAAAAAGUGAAUCAAGCCCCCACCGUUUGUAGACUCGGCAACUCUCAAUUUAGGAAAAUCAAAUUUAACUAUGUUAAGAUGUGAAAUUGGAACUUGUAUCCAGCAAAAGUAAUAGAGGAAACAAACUCUAGAGCAAGAACUAAAGAAAGUAUAGUUAACAUCCCUAAUUAAACAAAAACAACCCUAAUGAAUGUUAGCAUAGUAUUUAAGCCAAUCCUACUGUUUCUGCAGAGCUUUUAGUGUUUGUUCUAAAUCCUCAGUGAGAGCUCCAACCACUAAGCUGUCACUCCGCGACCCUGCCCUCAGACUGAAGUGAAGCUCUAUCUACUCUCUUCUUUACCCUCUUUCACAAGAGAAGUUUCUCAGAACACUUAGAAAUAAUAAGUCUGCUGCCUCUUCUCUCCUCAGACAGCCCGAUGAGGGGAAACAUUCAUUUUCAACCUCUGAUCUUGCUUACAGACUAUCACAUCCCUACCUUUAAUACCAAUCACCCUGAUCUUUUGUCUCCUUCUCAUGUGACUCUUUCUGUGCUGGGACUUCCUGUAGUCUGUUUCAGCAUCCUUCCUUUUACACUCUAGGGGGAAAAAAACAACAACAAGAACAACCAAACAAAACAAUCCAGAAAUGGUUUUUAAAAGGCUCUGUGAUAUUCUAAAACAGGGAUUUAAAGUUGUUCCAUUUCGGAAUGAGCAAGCUGUGUGUUGUUCUUCCUACUUCAAAACACGUUUUAAAUAAUGCGACUGUAGCAAAUUCUCCAAAUGUGCAGAUGUGUUAGCAGUCAUUUUGAGAAACACCUAGAUCUCCUAAUAAGGUGCAUGUGUGUGUGUAUGUGUGUAAGUGUGUAUGUGUGUAAGUGUGUGUGUAUACAUUUGUAUUACAAAGGUGUGUGUGUCCAUUUGUGAUUCUGAAAGCAAAUAAGUGUUGUCUCAGCCAGUCCCACGUCACGUUUUAUUAUGCAGAUUUCAGAAUAUAUACAGGAUUGUGUAACCAGCCACUAAGCACAUAAAUGAGUUUAUUCCCUUAAGCAAUUUCUCUAAUCUCACUGCUUGAGCAUGUACAUAGUUUUAUUCUGUAUUUCCCUCUUCAUCUUUUUAAAUAAAAUUCUGUGGAUGAAAAUUGUCUCCAUUUUGCAAAUCUAAUCAAUUAGCAUAAAGUAUAACCCAAUACUAUCUUCUCUGAAUUAUUAAAUAAAUAUCUUGCUUAAGAC
Molecule: long non-coding RNA, 2557 nt
Filed under: Mus musculus (house mouse)
Lineage: Eukaryota; Metazoa; Chordata; Mammalia; Rodentia; Muridae
Description: long non-coding RNA chr17:62885076-62887633
Source: RNAcentral